This 4275-nucleotide long non-coding RNA is filed under the name Salvia miltiorrhiza (redroot sage). Its description in RNAcentral is "long non-coding RNA (SMIL_LNC005573)". The record is from RNAcentral. Lineage: Eukaryota; Viridiplantae; Streptophyta; Magnoliopsida; Lamiales; Lamiaceae.
GAUAUUUGGAGUUUGGGAGUCAGCAUUCUUGAAUUCUACUUGGGAAAAUUCCCAUUCGCCGUGGGGAGGCAGGGAGAUUGGGCUAGUCUAAUGUGCGCCAUUUGUAUGUCGCAGCCCCCGGAGGCGCCGGCGACGGCCAGCCGGGAGUUCAGGGAUUUCAUUGCUUGCUGCCUGCAAAGGGAUCCGGCAAAGCGGUGGACGGCAGCUCAGCUGUUGAGGCAUCCGUUCAUCGCGCAGUAUGCAUCUCCGCCGCCUGGAAGCAACGGCAGCGGGAAUAAUCAGGUUCAUCAUCAGUCUCAUCUAUUACCCCCGCCUCGCCCGCAUUCUUCAAUUCCUUAGUUUCUGCUCUACUCAAUAAGUUACCUCUUAAUUCUAUAGAAUUGUGCCUGGGUUUAGGGUUGUGGGAGAAAUGGUGGAUAUUUUAUUACUUAGCAUCGAGCCUCAUGAUCAACCAUCUUAAGUUGAACGAUGUUGUUAAACCCUUGAAAGCAAUGAAAAUCUAUUUUCAGAGUCCCAAUUUCAUCUUUACCUAUUCUUGUUUGAUUCAUACUAUUGAAUUGAUGAGUUGCAUUGCAUUGCAUCAACACCUGUCUUUGUCUAUGCCAAAGAAGAGAUGAUAAGCUUGUGUGCACAUAUUCUUUUUGCCUGUCAUCGAAUCCUUAUCCUUUGAGAUUAAUCCAACUUGGAUCGCAUCUCUCUCUCGUUUUCUUUUGCUAUAUUUGUGUGAUGUUGUAGUUGCUCCAAUCCACUAAAUCUACGACCUUAAUGGCGACUAUCUUGGUUGGUUGUUUUGGAUUUUGGAAGAUGGUGUGUGUACAUACAUCUACUUUGGGCAAAAUCCUAUUGCCUUUCCAACUUGUUACUUUACCCCAAUAAUGAAAAAAACAUUUUGCUAUGCACAACAUGUGACCAUAUGCUUCUUCACUGCCUCUCCAUAUCUACUUUUAUCUUCAUCAUAUAAUACACUCAACUUGUUUCAAUCCCGCAUUACAUAAAUGCUUUUCUGAUUAUGAUAUAGUGUUGUUUGUUUGUUUGUAAUAACAUACAUACACACACACAAAGAAAAAAGAAAGAAAGAUGUAGUGUAGUUUUCUUGAAAUGGAAUGUGACUUGCUGCAUCAGUUUGAUGUGUGCUGUAAUAAUAAUGGUUUUAAAUGUUGAUGUAUUAUUGUGUAGCCAUAAGAAAAGUAAUAUAUGUAUGAUUGUACUUGUACCAUCUCUUGGGACAUUGCAAGACCUGUCUAGUUUUUGCUUUUCGGAUUCCGGAUUUUCUGUUCUUUCUUUUUUUUUAGAUUUGGAUGAAUAUUUAACUUGUUCUUAUAUAUUCCGUUAAAUCUUUUUUACUUUAAUGUUGAUGCUCGCACUGUCGGUAGUAAGUAGUAACUGAUGUAGUUUGAAUUUAAACAUUUUUUUGCGACAUUUGUGCAUUUAUCUGUACUUUUUCACCAUGUUGUAUGCACAAAUUGUUGGAAAAAGGAAAGGCAUCUUUUACCCACUUGCCACUACAAAGAAAAUUGUACUAUAAUUUAAAAUAAAUUUAACAAAAACUGAAAAACCUGAAAGUGUGUUAACCUUAUACUCUUUUACCCGAAACAUUGGAUUACGUAUUAAAAUGAGUCAAGUGUUCCUACAUUGCAUCUAAAGGAGUUGAGCUCUCUAUGAGUAUUUUGAAUCUUGAUUCUAGGAAAAUUCAGACAAUCUCUUUGCGGUAACACAUUAAGUUCAAUAUCCGAUUUAUAAGUUGACUAUCCGUUUGUUAUUUGAGAUUUUUUAUGUUUUUGUUAUAAGAAGAUAAUGAAUAUUUAAAUAUUAAAUAUGUCAUUACUAAGAUCGACUAGAUUCAAUAAAAUUCACGAACCUUGAUAUUUUUAUAAAUUAAGCUAAAUGGAUUACACACUCCUACUUGGAUUAUAUAAAUUUUAUUACUCAUUAGCCUAUGAUAAGCUAAGCAUACCUCUUCAAAUUUACUCGACACUAUCAAUGUACAAUAUUUUCACUUUCAGUUUAAUUAAUACAUAUAUGAUGCAAAUGCUAAACCUAAACAUAUGGGAUACGGUUUACACAGACGAUGAAUUCAAAUAGUUCAAACUCAGUGUAGAAGGCAAAACUCAUCAUGGGCAAAACUGCAACAUUGCUGCUUCUAUCUUCUUCUCUUUUUAAUAUAAAAGGGAUUUUAUAUAAGCCCAAUGAGUAUACAGGCCCAAUCCUCUAUUGCGAGAGAAAAUAUAUUUAGACCCACGAAACGAUGCCACAUAAUACACGUACAUUCAAUUAGCAUAUGAUAUUUGAACAAUGAAAUUAGACACUUCCGACUAAUCCACACGCUUAUAAGUUCAGACAUGAGAAAUUAUUUAUCAACGUCGACAAAGCAUGGACAGUGAUGCUAAGUUGAUUUGUGAUAUUGAUAUAUACAUACAAACUAGUAUGUGCCCNGGAAAAAUCUACGCCCUCAAAGUGAUAUACGGCAACCACGAGGACGCCGUGCGCAAUCAGAUGCGCCGCGAAAUCCAGAUUCUCCGCGACGUGGACAACCCUAACGUGGUCCGCUGCCACAACCUCAUCGAUCACAACGGCGAAAUUCAAGUCCUCCUCGAGUACAUGGACAAGGGAUCGCUCGAGGGCACGCACAUCCCCAACGAACCCUCGCUCUCCGAUCUCGCCCGCCAGAUUCUCUGCGGAUUGUACUACCUCCACCGCCGCAAAAUCGUCCAUCGCGAUAUCAAGCCCUCCAAUUUACUAAUCAAUUCGCGAGGGGUGGUAAAAAUAGCCGAUUUUGGCGUGUCCCGAAUUCUGGCUCAGACCAUGGACAACUGCAACUCGUCGGUGGGGACGAUUGCGUAUAUGAGCCCCGAGAGAAUCAACACCGAUCUCAAUCACGGGAGAUACGACGGAUACGCGGGGGAUAUUUGGAGUUUGGGAGUCAGCAUUCUUGAAUUCUACUUGGGAAAAUUCCCAUUCGCCGUGGGGAGGCAGGGAGAUUGGGCUAGUCUAAUGUGCGCCAUUUGUAUGUCGCAGCCCCCGGAGGCGCCGGCGACGGCCAGCCGGGAGUUCAGGGAUUUCAUUGCUUGCUGCCUGCAAAGGGAUCCGGCAAAGCGGUGGACGGCAGCUCAGCUGUUGAGGCAUCCGUUCAUCGCGCAGUAUGCAUCUCCGCCGCCUGGAAGCAACGGCAGCGGGAAUAAUCAGGUUCAUCAUCAGUCUCAUCUAUUACCCCCGCCUCGCCCGCAUUCUUCAAUUCCUUAGUUUCUGCUCUACUCAAUAAGUUACCUCUUAAUUCUAUAGAAUUGUGCCUGGGUUUAGGGUUGUGGGAGAAAUGGUGGAUAUUUUAUUACUUAGCAUCGAGCCUCAUGAUCAACCAUCUUAAGUUGAACGAUGUUGUUAAACCCUUGAAAGGAAUGAAAAUCUAUUUUCAGAGUCCCAAUUUCAUCUUACCUAUUCUUGUUUGAUUCAUACUAUUGAAUUGAUGAGUUGCAUUGCAUUGCAUCAACACCUGUCUUUGUCUAUGCCAAAGAAGAGAUGAUAAGCUUGUGUGCACAUAUUCUUUUUGCCUGUCAUCGAAUCCUUAUCCUUUGAGAUUAAUCCAACUUGGAUCGCAUCUCUCUCUCGUUUUCUUUUGCUAUAUUUGUGUGAUGUUGUAGUUGCUCCAAUCCACUAAAUCUACGACCUUAAUGGCGACUAUCUUGGUUGGUUGUUUUGGAUUUUGGAAGAUGGUGUGUGUACAUACAUCUACUUUGGGCAAAAUCCUAUUGCCUUUCCAACUUGUUACUUUACCCCAAUAAUGAAAAAAAACAUUUUGCUAUGCACAACAUGUGACCAUAUGCUUCUUCACUGCCUCUCCAUAUCUACUUUUAUCUUCAUCAUAUAAUACACUCAACUUGUUUCAAUCCCGCAUUACAUAAAUGCUUUUCUGAUUAUGAUAUAGUGUUGUUUGUUUGUUUGUAAUAACAUACAUACACACACACAAAGAAAAAAGAAAGAAAGAUGUAGUGUAGUUUUCUUGAAAUGGAAUGUGACUUGCUGCAUCAGUUUGAUGUGUGCUGUAAUAAUAAUGGUUUUAAAUGUUGAUGUAUUAUUGUGUAGCCAUAAGAAAAGUAAUAUAUGUAUGAUUGUACUUGUACCAUCUCUUGGGACAUUGCAAGACCUGUCUAGUUUUUGCUUUUCGGAUUCCGGAUUUUCUGUCUCUUUUUUCUUUUUUUAGAUUUGGAUGAAUAUUUAACUUGUUCUUAUAUAUUCCGUUAAAUCUUUUUUACUUUAAUGUUGAUGCUCGCACUGUCGGUA